UUUAGGGAGACCUCCCGCUUUGACACUUGCCAUCAGUGCAGUGCAAAGACGGUCAUUCCCAGGUCGUGCGGAUAGUGAGCUUGACUUUCAAUCUGAUCUAGUCGGGAUUCGACUAAGAGCUAGCACUCGAUGAGUAGACCAAGACUCGCGAUUUGCUGGCUUUUAUAGUCAGCAACAAUGCACCUAGACAACUACAUAGAGAAUCGUCAGGUAGAACAAAGAAAUCACAAGACGCCGAUAUUGCGAGCGAGCAAUGAAU
RNAcentral lists this unclassified non-coding RNA (259 nucleotides) under Trichotorquatus sp. 5 str. WJT32-NPBGA. RNAcentral's name for it is "16S-23S ribosomal RNA intergenic spacer". Lineage: Bacteria; Bacillati; Cyanobacteriota; Cyanophyceae; Oculatellales; Oculatellaceae. The record is from RNAcentral.